RNAcentral lists this ribosomal RNA (535 nucleotides) under uncultured bacterium. RNAcentral describes it as "partial 16S ribosomal RNA". It matches the Rfam family "Bacterial small subunit ribosomal RNA", at positions 355 to 901 of the family's 1533-position model. The record is from RNAcentral.
UGGGGAAUAUUGCGCAAUGGGCGAAAGCCUGAUGCAGCAACGCCGCGUGAGGGACGACGGCCUUCGGGUUGUAAACCUCUUUUAGCAAGGAAGAAGCGAAAGUGACGGUACUUGCAGAAAAAGCGCCGGCUAACUACGUGCCAGCAGCCGCGGUAAUACGUAGGGCGCAAGCGUUAUCCGGAAUUAUUGGGCGUAAAGAGCUCGUAGGCGGUUUGUCGCGUCUGCUGUGAAAACCCGAGGCUCAACCUCGGGCCUGCAGUGGGUACGGGCAGACUAGAGUGCGGUAGGGGAGAUUGGAACUCCUGGUGUAGCGGUGGAAUGCGCAGAUAUCAGGAAGAACACCGAUGGCGAAGGCAGAUCUCUGGGCCGUAACUGACGCUGAGGAGCGAAAGGGUGGGGAGCAAACAGGCUUAGAUACCCUGGUAGUCCACCCGUAAACGUUGGGAACUAGUUGUGGGGUCCAUUCCACGGAUUCCGUGACGCAGCUAACGCAUUAAGUUCCCCGCCUGGGGAGUACGGCCGCAAGGCUAAAACU